CACGUCUCGUCUCUGUCUUCCCGUCAGUGCAAUGGGCCUGACCAUGCCUGCCUUCCACCCGCAAUCCUGGGUCCGCCGAGGACCUCCGGG
This is a long non-coding RNA of Myotis brandtii (Brandt's bat), 90 nucleotides long. RefSeq lists it as uncharacterized. The record is from RefSeq and is a predicted model, not a curated record. The transcript has 4 exons. NCBI's taxonomy places the organism in Eukaryota, Metazoa, Chordata, Mammalia, Chiroptera, Vespertilionidae.